Molecule: long non-coding RNA, 1141 nt
Filed under: Anas platyrhynchos platyrhynchos (common mallard)
Lineage: Eukaryota; Metazoa; Chordata; Aves; Anseriformes; Anatidae
Description: lncRNA (ENSAPLG00000029427.1)
Source: RNAcentral
CCAGCACCCCGGUACCCUGAGGAAGGCGUCGAGGGCUCCGUUCUCCAUGUACUCGGUGAGGAUCAUGGCGGGGGCACUGGCGGUCACCACCCCCCGCAGCCUCACCACGUUGGGGUGCGCAAAUUGCCCCAUACGGGCGGCCUCCCCCAAAAAAUCCCGGCGCUGCCGCUCGCCAGCGCCCCCCUUCAGGGUCUUCACCGCCACCGGCGACUCCGGGCGCCCCGGCAGCGCCAGCCGGCCCCGGCAAACCUCCCCGAAUUCUCCUGGGGGGGCAAAGAGGUGUUGGGGAUGGGACACGGGGACCGAGGGGCUCCCCCGCGAUGCCCUAAAGCACCCCGUAGGGUCAAUGGGGCUUUGUUGGGUGGCGUUGGGGUGUCUUGGGGACGUUAUUGGGGACAUCGUUGGGGACAUAAUUGGGGACAUCGUUGGGGUGUUGUUGGGAACAUCGUUGGGAUGUCAUUGGGGACAUCGUUGGGUGUCAUUGGGAUGUCUUGGGGACAUCGUUGGGGACAUCUUUGGUAUGUCAUUAUGGGACAACAUUGGGUGUCAUUGGGGACAUCAUUGGGCCAUCGUUGGGGACAUUUUUGGGCCAUCGUUGAGUAAAACCAGAACGGGAUGUCAACGGGGACAUCAUUGGGGACAUUACUGGGGACAUCGUUGGGGACAUUAUUGGGGACAUUAUUGGGAUGUCGUUGGGCAGAUUGGGGUGUUCAUGGAUGGGGACAUGGAUGGGGACAUCUUUGGGGACAUUUUUGGGGAUACAUCGACGGGGACGUGGCUGGGGUCACCCUGGGGACGGGGGCGUUUUGGGGGGGGGGGGGGGGGGGACGGCGGUGUCAUUGUCACCUGCCCCGAUGACCUCCUCGAUCUUGACGCAGGCGACGUCGAUCUCCUGGGCGAAGUCCCGCACGGCCGCCCCGGGGUCCUCGUAGGUGAGGGGGUCGAUGUACAGCUUCCUGCCUGCGUGGCAUCAUCAUCAUCAUCAUCUUCAUCAUCAUCAUCGUCAUCAUCAUCAUCAUCAUUGUCAUCAUCAUCGUCAUCAUCAUCAUCAACAUCAUCAUCGUCAUCAUCAUCAUCUUCAUCAUCAUCAUCAUCAACAUCAUCACCAUCAUCUUCAUCAUCAUCAUCAUCAUCAUCAUCA